Molecule: ribosomal RNA, 255 nt
Filed under: uncultured bacterium
Lineage: Bacteria
Description: partial 16S ribosomal RNA
Rfam family: Bacterial small subunit ribosomal RNA
Source: RNAcentral
UACGAAGGGGGGCUAGCGUUGCUCGGAAUUACUGGGCGUAAAGGGCGCGUAGGCGGAUGUCUAAGUUGGGGGGUGAAAUCCCGGGGCUCAACCUCGGAAUUGCCUUCAAAACUGGAUAUCUUGAGUUCGGGAGAGGUGAGUGGAACUCCGAGUGUAGAGGUGAAAUUCGUAGAUAUUCGGAAGAACACCAGUGGCGAAGGCGACUCACUGGCCCGAUACUGACGCUGAGGCGCGAAAGCGUGGGGAGCAAACAGG